RNAcentral lists this long non-coding RNA (134 nucleotides) under Struthio camelus australis. RNAcentral describes it as "lncRNA (ENSSCUG00000002108.1)". The record is from RNAcentral. Lineage: Eukaryota; Metazoa; Chordata; Aves; Struthioniformes; Struthionidae.
CCUGCACAAAGGUGUGCCUGAUGCUUUUCCACUCCUGGACACCCCAGAGCCACACCUGAAGAUGAUCAACAGUGAGGUUUGGAUCUGUCCAUCGCCUGGGCUAUGGCUGGGAGAGAAGUGAAGAGUAAACACAA